GACGAACGCUGGCGGCGUGCUUAACACAUGCAAGUCGAACGAUGAAGAAAAGAAUCGCAGCUUCGGCAGAAAUUCAUUUCGGAUUAGUGGCAGACGGGUGAGUAACGCGUGAGCAACCUACCUCUUACAAAGGGAUAGCCUCGGGAAACCGGGAUUAAUACCAUAUAACAUUGCGACGAAGCAUUUCGAUGCAAUCAAAGCUACGGCGGUAAGAGAUGGGCUCGCGUCCCAUUAACCGGAUGGUGAGGUAACGGCUCACCAUAGUGACGAUGGGUAACCGGCCUGGGAGGGUGAACGGUCACACUGGAACUGAGACACGGUCCAGACUCCUACGGGAGGCAGCAGUGGGGAAUAUUGCACAAUGGAGGGAACUCUGAUGCAGCGACGCCGCGUGAGUGAUGAAGGAAUUCGUUUCGUAAAACUCUGUUCUAUGGGAAGAAAAGGACUGUACCAUAGGAGAAAGCUCCGGCUAAAUACGUG
RNAcentral lists this ribosomal RNA (480 nucleotides) under uncultured bacterium. RNAcentral's name for it is "partial 16S ribosomal RNA". It matches the Rfam family "Bacterial small subunit ribosomal RNA", at positions 28 to 507 of the family's 1533-position model. The record is from RNAcentral.